RNAcentral lists this unclassified non-coding RNA (345 nucleotides) under soil metagenome. RNAcentral describes it as "partial contains 5.8S ribosomal RNA, internal transcribed spacer 2, and large subunit ribosomal RNA". The stretch from base 1 to 120 matches the Rfam family "5.8S ribosomal RNA", at positions 35 to 154 of the family's 154-position model. The record is from RNAcentral.
GAUGAAGAACGUAGCGAAAUGCGAUAAGUAGUGUGAAUUGCAGAAUUCAGUGAAUCAUCGAAUCUUUGAACGCACAUUGCGCCCCCUGGUAUUCCGGGGGGCAUGCCUGUCCGAGCGUCAUUGCUGCCCUCAAGCACGGCUUGUGUGUUGGGCCUCCGUCCUCCUCCCGGGGGACGGGCCCGAAAGGCAGCGGCGGCACCGCGUCCGGUCCUCGAGCGUAUGGAGCUUCGUCACCCGCUCUUGUAGGCCCGGCCGGCGCUUGCCGACACAUCAAUCUUUUUUCCAGGUUGACCUCGGAUCAGGUAGGGAUACCCGCUGAACUUAAGCAUAUCAAUAAGCGGAGGA